This 1544-nucleotide ribosomal RNA is filed under the name Salmonella enterica subsp. enterica serovar Infantis. RNAcentral describes it as "bacterial SSU rRNA". It matches the Rfam family "Bacterial small subunit ribosomal RNA". The record is from RNAcentral. Lineage: Bacteria; Pseudomonadati; Pseudomonadota; Gammaproteobacteria; Enterobacterales; Enterobacteriaceae.
AAAUUGAAGAGUUUGAUCAUGGCUCAGAUUGAACGCUGGCGGCAGGCCUAACACAUGCAAGUCGAACGGUAACAGGAAGCAGCUUGCUGCUUUGCUGACGAGUGGCGGACGGGUGAGUAAUGUCUGGGAAACUGCCUGAUGGAGGGGGAUAACUACUGGAAACGGUGGCUAAUACCGCAUAACGUCGCAAGACCAAAGAGGGGGACCUUCGGGCCUCUUGCCAUCAGAUGUGCCCAGAUGGGAUUAGCUAGUUGGUGAGGUAACGGCUCACCAAGGCGACGAUCCCUAGCUGGUCUGAGAGGAUGACCAGCCACACUGGAACUGAGACACGGUCCAGACUCCUACGGGAGGCAGCAGUGGGGAAUAUUGCACAAUGGGCGCAAGCCUGAUGCAGCCAUGCCGCGUGUAUGAAGAAGGCCUUCGGGUUGUAAAAGUACUUUCAGCGGGGAGGAAGGUGUUGUGGUUAAUAACCGCAGCAAUUGACGUUACCCGCAGAAGAAGCACCGGCUAACUCCGUGCCAGCAGCCGCGGUAAUACGGAGGGUGCAAGCGUUAAUCGGAAUUACUGGGCGUAAAGCGCACGCAGGCGGUCUGUCAAGUCGGAUGUGAAAUCCCCGGGCUCAACCUGGGAACUGCAUUCGAAACUGGCAGGCUUGAGUCUUGUAGAGGGGGGGUAGAAUUCCAGGUGUAGCGGUGAAAUGCGUAGAGAUCUGGAGGAAUACCGGUGGCGAAGGCGGCCCCCUGGACAAAGACUGACGCUCAGGUGCGAAAGCGUGGGGAGCAAACAGGAUUAGAUACCCUGGUAGUCCACGCCGUAAACGAUGUCUACUUGGAGGUUGUGCCCUUGAGGCGUGGCUUCCGGAGCUAACGCGUUAAGUAGACCGCCUGGGGAGUACGGCCGCAAGGUUAAAACUCAAAUGAAUUGACGGGGGCCCGCACAAGCGGUGGAGCAUGUGGUUUAAUUCGAUGCAACGCGAAGAACCUUACCUGGUCUUGACAUCCACAGAAGAAUCCAGAGAUGGAUUUGUGCCUUCGGGAACUGUGAGACAGGUGCUGCAUGGCUGUCGUCAGCUCGUGUUGUGAAAUGUUGGGUUAAGUCCCGCAACGAGCGCAACCCUUAUCCUUUGUUGCCAGCGGUCCGGCCGGGAACUCAAAGGAGACUGCCAGUGAUAAACUGGAGGAAGGUGGGGAUGACGUCAAGUCAUCAUGGCCCUUACGACCAGGGCUACACACGUGCUACAAUGGCGCAUACAAAGAGAAGCGACCUCGCGAGAGCAAGCGGACCUCAUAAAGUGCGUCGUAGUCCGGAUUGGAGUCUGCAACUCGACUCCAUGAAGUCGGAAUCGCUAGUAAUCGUGGAUCAGAAUGCCACGGUGAAUACGUUCCCGGGCCUUGUACACACCGCCCGUCACACCAUGGGAGUGGGUUGCAAAAGAAGUAGGUAGCUUAACCUUCGGGAGGGCGCUUACCACUUUGUGAUUCAUGACUGGGGUGAAGUCGUAACAAGGUAACCGUAGGGGAACCUGCGGUUGGAUCACCUCCUUA